This is a long non-coding RNA of Cercocebus atys (sooty mangabey), 961 nucleotides long. RefSeq lists it as uncharacterized. The record is from RefSeq and is a predicted model, not a curated record. NCBI's taxonomy places the organism in Eukaryota, Metazoa, Chordata, Mammalia, Primates, Cercopithecidae. The transcript has 2 exons.
CUUUAAUCCCAGCAAUUUGGGAGGCCGAAGUGGGUGGAUCACAAGGUGCAGUACAAUGGCCAGAUCGCAAAGUCAUCCCUCUGCUCACCUGAGACAAAUGCAUAUCUAAUUGCUUCUUCUGCCCUAUUGUUUAUGCAAAAAUGCAGAUUCACUGAGCCAGACUAAGGCAUCAGUGUGACUAUUCCUUUACUCCCCACUCCAUGUAAAUUGUGUAGUCAGUGAAAGAUUGAUCAAAGACCCAAAAGAAUGCAGCCUUUUGUCUCUUAUCUACCUAUGACCUGGAAGCCACCACUUCGAGUUGUCCCGCCUUUCCAGACUGAACCAGUGUAACAUCUUACAGGUAUUGAUUGAUGUCUCAUGUCUCCGCAAAAUGUAUAAAACCAAGCUGUGCCUCGACCACCUUUAGCACGUGUUGUCAGAACCUCCUGAGGCUGUGUCAUCUCAUGAAUGUGUGCUCAACCUUGGCAAAAUAAACUUUCUAAAUUGAUUGAGACCUGUCUCAGAUACUUUUGGGUUCACAACAUGAACUCAGCUUCCUUUACAGACUCCGUGAGACCUGCGUGUUGAUCCCUGCUAUGCCCCUCACCUUACCGUUUAACCCCUGCCCCAUUUUACUCACUCCUGGCAAGAAAACCAGUAUGCCGAGAAGAGGAGUGGUGCCACACAGGAGGCCAUGGAGGAUGAGCAGAGAUGGACAAUUGAGUAGAGUCCCUGAGAGCAGCAAGAGGCCUUCUGCUUGUGUGGAGUCUGUGAGACUGUGUGAGGUUGGAUGGGAAGAGCAAGCAGGAGAGGGAUCAUGAUCAUGAGGGCAAGGGAGUCCUUGGAAGACUGAGGGUCAGUGAGUGUGUGUGGAUCUGCAGGGGGCUGUGGCUGUCUCCUGUUUAUGGCCCCCUAAAACUUUCAUUUUCUACGUUCAGAAACUUCCUCCCCUUCUGGUGUGUAAUAAAGAAUUUGGCCUUUG